This 547-nucleotide ribosomal RNA is filed under the name Salmonella enterica subsp. enterica serovar Typhimurium. RNAcentral's name for it is "partial 23S ribosomal RNA". It matches the Rfam family "Bacterial large subunit ribosomal RNA", at positions 642 to 1190 of the family's 2925-position model. RNAcentral also lists the same sequence under 1 other name. The record is from RNAcentral. Lineage: Bacteria; Pseudomonadati; Pseudomonadota; Gammaproteobacteria; Enterobacterales; Enterobacteriaceae.
AAGGUUAACCGUAUAGGGGAGCCGGAGGGAAACCGAGUCUUAAUUGGGCGUUAAGUUGCAGGGUAUAGACCCGAAACCCGGUGAUCUAGCCAUGGGCAGGUUGAAGGUUGGGUAACACUAACUGGAGGACCGAACCGACUAAUGUUGAAAAAUUAGCGGAUGACCUGUGGCUGGGGGUGAAAGGCCAAUCAAACCGGGAGAUAGCUGGUUCUCCCCGAAAGCUAUUUAGGUAGCGCCUCGUGAAUUCAUCUCCGGGGGUAGAGCACUGUUUCGGCUAGGGGGCCAUCCCGGCUUACCAACCCGAUGCAAACUGCGAAUACCGGAGAAUGUUAUCACGGGAGACACACGGCGGGUGCUAACGUCCGUCGUGAAGAGGGAAACAACCCAGACCGCCAGCUAAGGUCCCAAAGUCAUGGUUAAGUGGGAAACGAUGUGGGAAGGCCCAGACAGCCAGGAUGUUGGCUUAGAAGCAGCCAUCAUUUAAAGAAAGCGUAAUAGCUCACUGGUCGAGUCGGCCUGCGCGGAAGAUGUAACGGGGCUAAACCAU